RNAcentral lists this ribosomal RNA (273 nucleotides) under uncultured bacterium. Its description in RNAcentral is "partial 16S ribosomal RNA". It matches the Rfam family "Bacterial small subunit ribosomal RNA", at positions 523 to 796 of the family's 1533-position model. The record is from RNAcentral.
ACACGGGGGGGGCGAGCGUUAUUCGGAAUUACUGGGCGUAAAGGGCGCGUAGGCGGUCCGUUAAGUGUGAAGUGAAAUGCCUGGGCUCAACCUGGACGUGCUUUGCAUACUGGUGGACUUGAGUCCAAGAGGGGGUGGUGGAAUUCCUGGUGUAGGGGUGAAAUCCGUAGAUAUCAGGAGGAACACCGUUGGCGAAGGCGGCCACCUGGAUUGGUCCUGACGCUGAGGCGCGAAAGCGUGGGGAGCGAGCAGGAUUAGAUACCCCAGUAGUCC